GUGCCAGCAGCCGCGGUAAUACGGAGGGUCCAAGCGUUGUCCGGAAUCACUGGGCGUAAAGGGUGUGCAGGUGGGGCAGCAAGUCAGAGGUGAAAGCCCGCGGCUUAACCGCGGACGUGCCUUUGAAACUGCUGCUCUUGAGUCCCGGAGAGGUUGCCGGAAUUCGUGGUGUAGCGGUGAAAUGCGUAGAUACCACGAGGAACACCAGAGGCGAAAGCGGGCAACUGGACGGGUACUGACACUGAGGCACGAAAGCGUGGGGAGCAAACAGGAUUAGAUACCCCUUAGUUC
This 291-nucleotide ribosomal RNA is filed under the name uncultured bacterium. RNAcentral describes it as "partial 16S ribosomal RNA". It matches the Rfam family "Bacterial small subunit ribosomal RNA", at positions 505 to 796 of the family's 1533-position model. The record is from RNAcentral.